ACAUCUAGCACUCAAUUCAACAUCUAAAUCCAACAUGAGCACACUCUCUUAUUACACUAUAGUUUCUCUAGGCCUAUCUCAACUCCUUUUGCCCUUACAAUCAUCAUCAAGCAUCCACACAUUCAAAUUAACCAACUCUCACAUUCAUUAAGCAAUAAACAUCAUGUGAAUUCUUGCAAAUGGUCAAUUGGUCCAAAUCAUUUGGUUGGGUAAGGGAAGACUUUUUAUUCAAGUGAGUCAAGAGGUUCAAGAUACAUGAUCUUUAAGGUGGUUUACUCUCAAGACAAGUAGCCUUGACAUUGCACAUAAUAUAUCUAAGAAAGGGAUCAACUCAUGCAUACAAUGCUCAAUCUCCAUUGUUCUACCCUUUUCCCAAACAUACAAGUUACACAAUCAUUUCCCAAUGUCAAACCCAACUCACAUCUCUCACCAAAAGAUCCUAAGAACAUUUUUCACAUAAAACUCUUUCUCUUUGAAAUCUACAAGGGAUUUUUUUUUCCUUUCACAAUUUAAAAACAUUUCUUAGCUCCUAACAACUUUGCUAGCCCCCUUUUUCUUUUUUUCUUUUUUUAUUUUUUAUUUUUUUCUUUUUCUUCUCUUUUUUUUUUAUAUUUUGGGGGGCCAAGACUUUUCAUAAACUUGAGCUAGAUGUUUAUCUACUUAUCCCAAUAAGACUAUUCACUUAAACACAAAGAGCCUAUUCUUUUCCUUCAAACUUUUCAUGCUCCCAAAUCAUAAUCACAACACUCACCCCCCACCUAUAGCUAGACAAUAGAGUGCCUAAUCUAGCA
This 791-nucleotide long non-coding RNA is filed under the name Brassica napus (rape). Its description in RNAcentral is "long non-coding RNA (BNAP_LNC018992)". Lineage: Eukaryota; Viridiplantae; Streptophyta; Magnoliopsida; Brassicales; Brassicaceae. The record is from RNAcentral.